CAAGGCCCUACUUGGUAUGCACCGUUCACGAGCGUACGGGCAUGUGCGUGUGUCUGCGUGUGCGUAAUGCCUACGCCACACUUUGGAGGGCUGCGAGUGUGAUAAGGGGCUGCUAGCUGAGCUUGGCUGACCCACGCGGGCCCUUCACAAGCUGUCAGAGGCACGGCCCUCGGAGGGGGGGCCCCUUCCAUCUGCGCUGCCCCAGCCAGGGUUACCCAGCGGGGAGCUAGAUUGGGGUGAGGCCCCUGUACCGCUGGGACUGGAAGAUGGGGGGCUGGGUGUGAAGGAUGCUUCCAUAUUAAUGAAGAUCCGCCUUUAUUAUUCCAAUGAAGAAUCACAAUCCCAACGUCUAAAGGAGAAAGUCGACAACGGGCCCGCCGCCACCGUCAAAACAACAACGAGAAGCGAGGCAGACACCGGGAGCACAGAUAGUCACAAAGGUGAUGAAGGGAGUGGAUGGAAAUGAAGAGAAGGCAACACAACACGCAGGCGUGAUGAAACGGCAGGCUGGGAGGAUUCGGCAGCGGCGUUCCCCAAGCUCCCGGUGCUCCCGUCCCGCUUCGAACUCGGCUCGUCGCCUGUCUUUCUGCCUGCCAUCCUCUUUGCCAGUUGAGGAGAGUGAGAGCGAGGCAGCCGGAUGAGCCGUGCCGUGCCGUGCCGUGCCGGGCUGGCACCAGGGAAAUCAGUGGGGCGCAGGCGCUCCCAGUUAAAAGUGACAUGACCUUUUGAUUUUGUCACCUGUCACCAAAUGCCAUGUCUGACUCUGCACUGAGGAGCGCCUGCCAUCCUCCUCCUCUUCUUUCUCUGUCGCCCCAUCGCUCCCAAUGCUUCUUUUGCCGUCUCCCACUCCAAUCAUUUACUUUCCAGACUUGCCGUUUCUAUCCGGGAAAAGUGGCGAUGUGACUUUUCGGCGGUCUAAUAGGCUGUUUCCUCUUUUUCCCCCUCCCAGCUUUCUUAUAAUAUUUACUUUCUGUACCUGUGUUGUGCGGGGCUCUUAAUGAGGGCAGAUGUCACGGCAGAGUGUGUUUAAAGACGCCGAUUUUUUUUUUUCUUUUUUUUCCCAGAGAUGAUAGCUCGGGGUGAAAAUAGACGAGAUAAAAAUGGCUAUGAAGUCUUGUUCUCGAAUGAUACAAA
This is a long non-coding RNA of Syngnathus typhle (broad-nosed pipefish), 1134 nucleotides long. RefSeq lists it as uncharacterized. NCBI's taxonomy places the organism in Eukaryota, Metazoa, Chordata, Actinopteri, Syngnathiformes, Syngnathidae. The record is from RefSeq and is a predicted model, not a curated record. The transcript has 2 exons.